CGAGUCGGCUGGGCGGUCGCGGUCAUGAGACGUGAUCGAGGAACGUCCGGGCUCCAUAGGGCAGGGUGGUUGCUAACGGCAACCCGGGGUGACCCGCGGGACAGUGCCACAGAAAACAGACCGCCGGACGCCCAGGUUCGCCUGGACGCCCAGGUAAGGGUGAAACGGUGGUGUAAGAGACCACCAGCGUUCCGGGUGACCGGAACGGCUCGGUAAACCCCACCCGGUGCAAGGUCGAAAGGGUCGGACGCUUCGGCGGCUCGGCCUGUGCAGGCGUUCGAGGGCUGCCCGCCCGAGCCUGCGGGUGGACCGCACGAGCCUGCCGGUGACGGCAGGCCCAGAUGGAUGAUCGCCCAUCGGGAUCGCCGCAAGGCACCCGGGGACAGAACCCGGCGUACAGGUCGACUCGUCCG
This 413-nucleotide RNase P RNA is filed under the name Geodermatophilaceae bacterium. RNAcentral describes it as "RNase P RNA component class A". It matches the Rfam family "Bacterial RNase P class A". Rfam says of the family: Ribonuclease P (RNase P) is a ubiquitous endoribonuclease, found in archaea, bacteria and eukarya as well as chloroplasts and mitochondria. Its best characterised activity is the generation of mature 5'-ends of tRNAs by cleaving the 5'-leader elements of precursor-tRNAs. The record is from RNAcentral. Lineage: Bacteria; Bacillati; Actinomycetota; Actinomycetes; Geodermatophilales; Geodermatophilaceae.